This 451-nucleotide ribosomal RNA is filed under the name Lachnospiraceae bacterium oral taxon 097. RNAcentral describes it as "bacterial SSU rRNA". It matches the Rfam family "Bacterial small subunit ribosomal RNA", at positions 28 to 480 of the family's 1533-position model. The record is from RNAcentral. Lineage: Bacteria; Bacillati; Bacillota; Clostridia; Lachnospirales; Lachnospiraceae.
GAUGAACGCUGGCGGCGUGCUUAACACAUGCAAGUCGAACGAGAAGUGAAGACGGAAACCUUCGGGCGGAAGCCUUCAUUUCGAGUGGCGGACGGGUGAGUAACGCGUGGGUAACCUGCCUCAUACAGGGGGAUAACAGUUGGAAACGACUGUUAAUACCGCAUAAGACCACAGCACCGCAUGGUGCGGGGGUAAAAACUCCGGUGGUAUGAGAUGGACCCGCGUUCGAUUAGCCAGUUGGCGGGGUAACGGCCCACCAAAGCGACGAUCGAUAGCCGAUCUGAGAGGAUGACCGGCCACAUUGGGACUGAGACACGGCCCAAACUCCUACGGGAGGCAGCAGUGGGGAAUAUUGCACAAUGGGGGAAACCCUGAUGCAGCGACGCCGCGUGAGUGAAGAAGUAUUUCGGUAUGUAAAGCUCUAUCAGCAGGGAAGAAAAUGACGGUACCU